AGUAUUCAUGUUUUGGUUUGUCCGCCAUUAUUGCGCGCCAAAGUUUUGUGUCUGUUGACGUUGGACUUGUAUUUUUCGUUGGAAUAUUUUCUUCUCCAGGUUGUAAUUGCCAGUUGGCCAAGUGUGAAAUAAAACGACAUUCUGUAUCAUUGACGGAAUUAUUAUAAUUGGACCUGGGCGCGUUCGGAGUGAUCUACGUUCGCAAAUAGCGGUGCACAUAAUAUCGUAUAGGUACGUACUGAAUUCGUUAAUGUUUGCCAAUUGAUGUGAGUUGCAAUUAAUAUUUAAUACCUGUGUUGAUUUCGUAUACCUACAAUGCCAAAGUAUAAAUUAAGUCGCUCAUCUUAUAGACAUGCUCAAGUUAAAUCAAAUCAACAAAUUGCGCAACUUGAACAUACAGGUCUGAACGUAAAUCAAAUCGCCUUUAAAUGUGUGAAAUUCCCAUUUGGUAAUAAAUUUGUAGUAUUUCCCUUGUUACAUUCUGCAACUACCAAAUAAAAUACCUUAUUUUGGUUUGUGAAUACAACGUAAUUGGAUGAACAUGUAAAUUAUGUUUAAUUUUAAUUUUCACGCUUUUAGUGGAAAGUGUCUCUUUUCAUUCUCUUCAUUUAGAAAGAAGAUAUUUUCAAAUUAUGUAUUACAAUGCAUGAUACUAAUGCGUUAGUCAAGAAGAGGCACUUCCCACUACAAUCUGAUUUUUAUCACUUUCAUUUAUUUUUUCUAACUGAUAUUUUUCUAUGCAUCUAUCUAUGCAUAAAAAGCAUGCCACACAAUGGGAAUCUCACCUGGUCUGUCAUCAAAUUCCCAGAAGAAAAUUCUGUAUCCGUGGUACCAACCUCGUGGCUACAUGGCAAUAUAUGCUUCUGGCCGCCGUAUAAUAGAAAACUGUUGCAAGACGCAAUUGAGAAAGGGGACCCUCCCGAUAAAGAAGUUUGGCAGCAGUUUCAAUUUUUACCCUUAAGGAAUAAUAUAUUUGAUAAUUUUAAAGAAGCUGAACGUAAAUCACGCAAAGCAACAAUAACUUCAGAUUUGGAUUCACAAAUGGAAGAUCAUCCUGAGCACAUAACAAGUAAAAGAAAAAGGAAAAUACGAAAAAUGUCAAGUAGCGAUAAUGAUUCUUCGGGAGAUGACGAAGAUAUGAGGCGUAAACUCCCAAAACCUCCCCAGCCAAAUUUACAUAAACAAAGCGUCUUUUCGCAACAUUCAUCAAAUCAAGUACUUCAAACAUUUACUGAUUCAGAAGAGUUUGGGAAUAAUGACAUCACUGAUGCUGUGAAUACGUCUUUCCCAGAGGGCUUUCGAGACGUGAGACCGCUUUCGAGUAAUAGUAAUAAUAACGGUUAUUCCACUACCAUCACAUCCAAGUCUACGCAAGUUGAUAAGAAUAAUGUUGGUGAUAUCACAGAAUAUCUAAAAAUGAUUUUGCGGAAACAGAACAUAUUGCAAUGUAUGGUCGCUGAUAUGAACACAAAGCUUCAAAAUAUUGAAAAUUCUAUCCAGAGCAAUAAACAAGCAGAUGACAAAAAUGAAUCUGACUACGACUCUUCACUUUUUGUAUUGAUUGAAAAUUUGCCAAUCAAUUCCAAUGAGACUCUCAAAGAAGUUGAAGAUUUCUUAUCUGAUGAAAAAAAAUUGAAUGACGCAGUAAGGGAAAUUUCCAAACUGGGAGGCAAAACACUGCAUAUGAAUUUAUACUUAGAGUGACAAAAAAAUUAAUAACAGAUAAGUUCGCUGGCAAUGAAUUUAGUUUCUUGGGAAGGAAAAAAAAAAACGAUUCAUAGAUUUGAAAUUGGCAUUGCUGUUAAAAAAAGCUGCCAUUUCCCUGUUUAGGAAAACUGAAAAAGAGAUUGAAAAUGACAUGGCGAAGUGGUUACGCAAAUGCCCUGAAAAAUCUAGAAAAAAUAAUUGAAAGUAUUAUGUUUAUUUAUUUUAUUUACAUAAUAAAGUAACGGAUUUUUAAAUUC
RNA transcript from Photinus pyralis (common eastern firefly), 1964 nucleotides. RefSeq lists it as uncharacterized. The record is from RefSeq and is a predicted model, not a curated record. The transcript is spliced from 6 exons. Lineage: Eukaryota; Metazoa; Arthropoda; Insecta; Coleoptera; Lampyridae.